UGGCGGACGGGUGAGUAAUGUCUGGGAAACUGCCUGAUGGAGGGGGAUAACUACUGGAAACGGUAGCUAAUACCGCAUAACGUCGCAAGACCAAAGAGGGGGACCUUAGGGCCUCUUGCCAUCGGAUGUGCCCAGAUGGGAUUAGCUAGUGGGUGGGGUAAAGGCUCACCUAGGCGACGAUCCCUAGCUGGUCUGAGAGGAUGACCAGCCACACUGGAACUGAGACACGGUCCAG
Molecule: ribosomal RNA, 235 nt
Filed under: uncultured bacterium
Lineage: Bacteria
Description: partial 16S ribosomal RNA
Rfam family: Bacterial small subunit ribosomal RNA
Source: RNAcentral